CAAAGUUAAAAAGAACAGCUGUAUAUUUUCACUUUUCUCUUUGGAACAGAUUCUCUCUUCUCUUUGUCCCUCCAUUGUAUAUAUGAGGCAGCUUCAUCAGUAGAACUAAUAUCAUCUCUCUUCUUUUCCAUAGAAUUUACAUUGUCAGUUUCUGAUGACGAAGACGCUUACAGAAAAUCGUGCUCAAGUUCUCAGAGUUCCAUGGUGGAAAAAUUUGUAUUUGGCAUUGUUUGGAAGCGAAUCCAUUUCGAGCACUCGAACAAUCAGAGCGGCUUUGCGUGGCUUCGUUGUUCAUCCGAGGAACAGGUGGUAUUUGGCAUGGCAGCAUUUCAUAGUGAUAAACGCAGCAUACUCGUCUUUCUUCACGCCGUUAGAAUUCGGAUUCUUUCGGGGGCUACCGCAGAAGCUCUUCGUACUGGAUAUCGGCAACCAGAUCGCUUUCCUGAUCGACAUAGUUGUUAAUUUUUUUGUUGCAUAUCAAGAUACUGAAUCUUACAGGAUGGUUUAUAGUCACAAUCUCAUUGCCCUAAGGUACUUGAAAUCUCGAUUUUUUUUCGACUUCCUGGGAUGCCUGCCGUGGGAUGUCAUCCACAAGGCUAGCGGGAGAAAAGAGGCAGUGAGGUAUUUACUCUGGAUUAGGCUAACCAGGGCAACCAGAGUGACAGAAUUUUUCGAGAAACUUGAGAAAGAAAUCCGAGUUAACUAUCUUUUUGUAAGAAUUGUAAAGCUAUUUGUUGUUGAGCUCUAUUGCACUCAUUCGGCUGCCUGUAUUUUUUACUAUCUUGCCACCACUGUGCCGCCCUCUAAUGAAGGCUACACCUGGAUUGGAAGCUUGAAAAUGGGAGACUUUUCUUACUCAAACUUCAGAGAAAUUGAUCUGUGGAAGCGUUACACUACUUCCCUCUACUUCGCCAUUGUUACCAUGGCAACUCUUGGCUAUGGAGAUGUACACGCAGUGAAUGUAAGAGAAAUGAUAUUCAUAAUGAUUUUCGUCUCCUUCGACAUGCUUCUUGGUGCUUAUUUGCUCGGCAACAUGACGGCUCUGAUUGUAAAAGGAUCCAACACAGAACGAUUCAGAGACAAAAUGACUGAUAUUAUCAAAUACAUGAACAGACACAACCUCGGAAACCAGAUAAGCACUGCAAUCAAAGAUCAUUUCAGACUGCUUUACGAUAGCCACCAGGAUCAGGAGUCUCAAGUUCUUCAGGAUAUUCCUGCUUCAAUUCGUACCAAGAUCUCAUAUAAAUUAUAUGAACCAUUCAUUAAGGAAGCUGCUCUUUUCAGGGACUGCUCUUCUGGAUUCAUUAAGCAGAUUGCAAUUAAAGUCCAUGAAGAAAUCUUCCUCCCAGGGGAAGUGAUCAUAGAGCAAGGAAAGAUAGCAGAUCAAUUAUAUAUCGUUUGCCAUGGUGACUUGGAAGAAGUGCAAGAAGGAGAAGAUGGAGAGAAAGAUGAGGGCGUUGGGAGUCAUCUGCAAACUUACAGCUCAUUUGGAGAAGUUUCCUUUCUUUGCAACAUUCUUCAGCCUUCCACCAUUACAGUUCGUGAACUAUGCAGGGUGUUGCUUAUUGAUAAACUAUCUUUUAUGCAAAUCCUUGGAAUUUACUUUUCCGAUGGCCGCAUCAUCUUGAAAAACCUCCUUGAGGGAAAGAAUGCCAAUCUUCGGAACAAGAUAUUGCAGUCAGAUUUCAGCCUUUAUAUCGAAAAACAUGAAUCGGAGAUGGCUACAAGACUGAAUUGUGCUGUCAAUGAGGAGGAUUUUCAUCACCUGAAACGAUUGAUCGGAGCCGGAGCAGAUCCCAAUAAGACAGAUUACAAUGGACGAUCACCUCUGCAUAUUGCUGCCUCCAAAGGUUAUGAAGAUAUGGUACUUUUCCUUCUUGAAAAAGGUGUGGACAUCAACAUUUCAGAUAAUUCAGGAAACACACCAUUGCUUGAAGCUGUUAAAAAUGGGCAUGAUCGAAUAGCUUCUCUACUUUCUGAUGCUGGGGCCUUGCUUGUAAUUGACGAUGCUGGAGAUUUUCUCUGUAAAAUUGUUGCAAGGAAAGACUUGGAGUUCCUGAAAAGAGUUGUAGCCAAUGGCAUCAACCCGAAUUCAAAGAAUUAUGAUCACAGGACACCACUUCAUAUAGCUGCUGCAGAAGGGCUUCUUUCAUUUGCAAAAUUACUGAUAGAAGCUGGAGCUAGUGUCUUCAUCAAGGACAGUGGCCAACAAGUGGUAUCACAAGGUCUGGAACAAUUCCGUCCAAAUCUAUUGCUCCCCCGAUUGGCCUGCUCGUUUGAAGGGAGGUUGUUGAUGGACCAAUGUGUGAUAGAAGAGGUUUGAUUGGCCUGCCUGGUUGAGGGGGAAGUUGUUGAUGGACAAAAGCAUGAUAGGGGAGGUUUGAUUGCCUGGCCUAGUUGAGAAGAGGUUGAUGGACCGAUGUGUGAUAGGAGAGGUUUGAUUGGCCUGUCUGGUUGAGGGGAGGUUAUUGACACACCAUUGUGUGAUAAGCUAAGAUUGUUGAGGUUGGGAUACAAAUUGUGGGUAGCCCCCCCAACUUAAGGAUGGGAGAGACCAAUGUAUGGGGAAAUACUCCGCUAGAUGAAUCACGUAUAUAUGGAAACAAGAAUCUGACAAAGCUGCUCGAAAUUGCAAGAACUUCCCAAAUGUCUGAGUUCUCUACUUGCCCUCAGGAAAUUCAGGAAAAGUUGCAGCCAAGAAAAUGCAAAGUGUUUUCCUUCCACCCAUUUGAUGUAAAGGAGAAGGAGAGAACGAAGGAGGGUGUUGUUUUAAGGGUUCCUGAAACCAUGGAAGAGCUUAUCAGGGAAG
This is an RNA transcript of Mangifera indica (mango), 2809 nucleotides long. It is a transcript of the gene named potassium channel SKOR-like, with no coding region annotated. NCBI's taxonomy places the organism in Eukaryota, Viridiplantae, Streptophyta, Magnoliopsida, Sapindales, Anacardiaceae. The transcript is spliced from 14 exons. The record is from RefSeq and is a predicted model, not a curated record.